Molecule: ribosomal RNA, 481 nt
Filed under: uncultured sponge symbiont RSWS12
Lineage: Bacteria
Description: bacterial SSU rRNA
Rfam family: Bacterial small subunit ribosomal RNA
Source: RNAcentral
CGCUGGCGGCGUGCUUAUACAUGCAAGUCGAACGAUCCCGAGGCUUCAGCCUCAAUGGGAGAGUGGCGAACGGGUGAGUAACACGUGAGGAACCUACCCCGGAGAUGGGAAUAGCCCAGGGAAACCUGGAUUAAUCCCCAAUACCCUGCCUGCACCGCAUGGUGCGUUCAGGAAAUGCUCCGGUGCUCCGGGAGGGUCUCGCGGCCUAUCAGCUUGUUGGUGAGGUAAUGGCUCACCAAGGCAUCGACGGGUAGCUGGUCUGAGAGGACGAUCAGCCACACUGGGACUGAGACACGGCCCAGACUCCUACGGGAGGCUGCAGUAGGGAAUAUUGCGCAAUGGGCGAAAGCCUGACGCAGCGACGCCGCGUGGGGGAAGAAGGCCUUCGGGUCGUAAACCCCUUUCAGCAGGGACGAAAUUGACGGUACCUGCAGAAGAAGCGCCGGCCAACUACGUGCCAGCAGCCGCGGUAAUACGUAGG